UCCUUAAGUGCGAGCGAAGCUGGAGCCGAGGAGCGGCUGAUGCCCCGCUGCGUCCCACAGUGCUUCGCGGCGAGCUGGGCCCCGCUGUUUCCCAGAACACCCCGCGGCUCCCUCGCCCCGCGCGGUCAGCAUCUUGGUUUCAGUCUCACUGCGAAAGGAGGCGGCGUUUCUUCGCCAGAGCUGUUUCCCCCCAGCUCAUCCACAGUGCGGGGAACGCAGGCUCAGCCGUGCCAAAUGGCCGCGUAGUUUAGGCUGCCAGUUUCAGGGAUGGCUGCCAGGGUUCAAACCGUAAUUCCACAGUUCUUAAACUUAAUUGGGCCGAGGAAGUUUUCUGGAUCGCUAAUUUAAAAGUGCAGAUUCCGGAUCUGACUUCCGCAAAUUGACAGUCAAGUUGGGUGCAUCUGAGCUGGUAAUCCACGGGUAUGCAUUUCAGUUAGCAGUUGUGAUUCUGAGAUGGUGACAUCCCACUCUAGGGUGCCCUUCUGGAGUCUCGUUAAAGAAAGACUCAAAAGAAGGGAUUUUACUGAAAGCCCGGAUCGUUUCUAAUUGAACCCCAAGCCUUUCUCUUUUGGGGAAAUGAAUAUAUAUAUAUCUCAUGACUUUGAAUUUGCCAGGCAGGCACUUGGAAAAUAUAUCUUACUAGAUCUGGUGUUCAAGUCCUGCCACGUCCUAGCUCUGGCAAUUGCAUCUUUAGGCUUUAGUUUCCUUCCCUGUAAAUUGGAGAUAAUAAAGGAUAAAAUAAAUAUAUGUGAAAGUAAUUUCCACUUUCUGUUAAUUCUUUACCAGCUGGGUGAACUUGUACAGGUUAUUUGAUUUCCCUAAACCACUGUAUUCAUAUUUAACAUAAGACUGUUGAUAGCAUAGCAACUGUCACUUAUUUCCAUUAAUGUUGUCUCAGCUGCCUUCCGAUUUUCCUAAUUUUUGUUUGCUUUCUUAAUUUUGUCUGGUACCCGAUGAAUCAUGCUCAGUGCCAAGCCUGUUCACUGGGGCUUUCUGUUUGUUGUUCCGCUGUAAAGUCUUUAUUCCACUUUCAAGAUGCACUUCGAAUGCUGCCAUUUCUUACCACCGUCUCCUUUCGGUUUGGAUCCACUCUUGCUCCUCUCAGACUCCUUCUCUCCUCGGUGGGCAAAGCGAUCUGUUCGCCAUCCUGUCUCUAACAGCUUCCCAUUGGUGUGCUUGGGGUGAGAUAGGAAGGGCUUCCCGCCUCCUUUGGUCCCUACUCUUCGGCUUCACAUCUUGCCAUCCUGCUCCCCCUGCUCUGGUCACCUCGGUCGGUCUCCUUUUUGCACAUUAAAACACCUCAUUCUCGCAGUGGGGGCUUUGUCCUUGCUGUUCUUUCCCCCAGGUUUACCCAUGGCUGGCUUGGUCCUGUUUCUAUGUCUCUGUUCAUAAGUUAGCUCCUGGGCUGCUAUGUGGCGCAGUGGGAGAACGCUUGUUUGGAAUUGUGAGGUGUUGGGUUCAACCCCAGGACUCCCCCAACAAAAAUGUUGACACUGUUCCUAAAAUAACAAUUUUUCCUUCCACCCCUUAGCCCCUCACUCAGCUUUUCAGCUUUGUUUUCUUUAGAGUUCUCAUGCUCUCUGAAACAUUGUUUCAUCAUUUAGCCCCCAGCUCUCCCUUUGAAGUGGAAGCUUAGCUGCAGGGCUCUGUCUUUCUUACCUAGAACAGUAUCUGGUAAUGCAUAUUUGUUAAAUUGUGUGAUGGACAGAAAAGUGUCAUGAGAUAUAAUGGGAAUAUGAAUUUAGCGUGUUACCCUGGACACAUAAGUACAUAAUCAAUGUUAGUAUAAUUGAGAUCCUUGGUAAACUAAUGUGCUCUAAAGUAUAGAGGCAGGCUUCGAUUAUAACUCAGUGGCAUAAGUGCCUGCCUGGCAAGUGCAAGGUCCUGAGUUUGAUUCCAGGCACCAAAAAAAAAAAAAAAAAAAAAAAAAAAAAAAAAAAAAAAAAUUUGUAUCUAUGGGGAGAUGUACUUCUGCCGAAUGCUUGGAUGCUAUCUUAUUUUUCAUCCUUUGUUCUUUUUCUUUUGCAGGGCCGUCGCUGCAGCCUGUCUCUUGUGUCAGAGUUUAAUCCUCAUUCCUGUAUCGUAGCGGCCGUCCUACCCACUCUCAGCCAGCUGGAGCAGGAUUUAGAGUGUCCUAUCUCCUUCUCAGUAGUGGGUCCCUGGGCUUGGGUGGCAGAUCUUGCCUGUUCCCUGUGAUACUCCUGUGCCUGUCUGUUGUCCAUCUGACUCCAUGCUCAGACAGCUGGUUGACCCUGCUUUUGCAUCAAAUCAGAGCAUGACCCCCUCCCCAUAUCCACUUGAAAAUCCCUGAGUAGCUCCCUUUUGUCCCUGCCCAGAAGAUAAAGACCUGUGCUCCUCCCUGGCCUGCAAGGCCCUCAGGGACAGCCCUGCCUUUCUGCUUCCUCUUUCUGGGUCACACCUCCCCUCCAGACCUCUGCCUCAAGAUGCUCACCUCUCACCCGCUGUCUUCUGGUGCCUGGUGUCCACAUCAGCUGGAUCUUCAUGAGCCUGUGUCCUCACGGGCCAGGCAUUUCCCUGCCACUCUGUCUGGCCUCACCAAGGCCUCAUUUGCUCUCUCACUGGCUUAUACAGAGCCGUGUGGCCAGCGUGGUGCUAUUUUAGGAGCCUAAGUCCAAUUCUUAGCACAGCCCUGGGAGAUGGCCCCAUCAUGUGCAUGUACAGGUGAAGUUACAGAGGCACGGGGAGAUACUCCCAUAUGCUGGAGCUCUGGGCUCAAAGGGCAGCUGGAUUCGACUCGUCUCCAUGUCCUGUUAGUGUUUUAUGUGGUCUGUUUCUUUCCUCAGGAGGUUUGAGACUUUAUGUGUCCUCUCUCGUCCUCCCAGCACCUAGUCAGGUACUUUCCACUAGUUGACCCUCAGAAAAGCUUUGUGGGAUGCCUGAGUCCCCCUGAGCACAGCCCCUCUUCUGUGUGUCCCUAGUGCCGGGAGAGUCCUCUGGGACUGUGCUUUGCCUCCCGCUGGGCCAUGCUGCCAGUGUUCCCACCUCCUGGCCCCAGACCUGCUGGUUUCCUGCCUGCUCAGCACAGUGCCUGGCAUGAAGAGCUUGCCCACAGAAGGCUUCUUGCACCCAGUGCCUUCUGGAGCUUGCUUUCAGAGAUACGGAAUCAAAAGUUAACGUUCUUGCUGGGAAAAUGUGAGGUCGGAGGCAGAACCUUUGCUCUAAAGGACCUUUUGCAGCGUCUUUCCAGUUAGGACAUUCAUGAACCCGUCUUUGGGCAGCUGAAUGACGAACGGCAGCCCACCAGUGUGACAAGGCUCUGAAUUUCAUUUUUGAGGUUCACGAUUGUAAUUUAAUUGCAGUUUUACAGAUGGUCAGACAGGCGAGUUAAUGAGCCUGAGGCCACACAACUCUUGGACAACAUUUACUCAGUCAACAUGUAAUCCUGGCGCUCCUUCUGGGCAUCUGGCAUAGAGAGGGCGAGGUGUGGAGAGUGCGGCAGGGAGGAGGAUGGGUGUGGGCCUCCAUCUCUGGGAGGCGCUGGCCUUUUGGGGGGCUGGGGUAGACGUGGGAAAGGGAUUGUGUGACAGUUGGGUGAAGAGGCCACCAUGGGCUGUGUGUUAGAAGCGAUUCCUAGCACUCGUAGCCUGGGAGCGCAGGGAGGUCUCUGAGGCUGCCCUUAAGCUUCCAGCCGCUCUGCCUGUCCUUCACUCCUGAAAGACGCCUCCUCGUCACCUGGCUGCCUGGCCGCCAUCGCCACUGCUUGGAAGGGCUCAGUGUUGGAGAGCUCGCACCCCUGCUAUGAACACACCCAGUCCCUUUGUGCCUCGGUGUCCCCAAGGCCCUAUGUGGUCCUCGUUUUCCUAGGCCGUCCACAUUGUCAGAGUUCUAACAAAAUGACGAUGCGGGAAUCCCUCCGCUCUCUCCUGGGCCUGGGAUCGCAGCCCCUGUGUCCCUCCUGGGCGCCCACCCUCCCUGUGAGGCUCCUCAUGUCCUGUAUGACUCCCCGUCCUGAGCACAGGCUUUCUCUCCUCUGUCUUCUGCCCCAGGGUCACCCUGUCCUUUCCCAGCUGACCUCGGCCAGGUGAUGGGCUGCCUCUGACCUGUGGGCUUGGGCAUCUGCUUGGGGCUGCCGGGCUGCAUUCUCUCAGGGCUUGAUUUUGACCUUCCUUCUCCUCCAGGGACUUGGACGAAUUGCUGUCUCUGUUGGGAGGGGACCUUUGUGUGCCUGAUUUUCCACUGCUGGUCAUAUGUUACGACCUAGGGGACAGCUUUGCUCCUCCCCUGCCCUGGCCUCCCGGUGCUUCUGCCCGACACUGUGGCAAUAGUGAUUGGCUGAUUCCUGUGCACUUAUUUGGUUCUUGUGCGUCUGCUGUAGAUUGGAUCUGACAGGGCCCACAAGGGCUCAUGUGCUGAAGCCUUUGUUGCUAUAGGAAGGAGGUGGAUCCUGGGGGAAGAAGUCAGGUCGUUGGGGCCUGGCCCUUUGCUAUCUCUUUCUUUUUGGUCCCUGGCCUUCUCUGCCGUGGUUCCUGCCCCAAGUAACCAUGCACUGAAACCUCUAAAACCAUGGCUCCAAAUAAACCUUUCUCCCUUUUAAACUGUUUAACCUUAGAUGUUUGUUACAGCAAGGGAAAACUAAUACAAUGUGUCUUAUAUCACACAGGGUACCCCUAAGAUGGGAUGGGAACAGCUCGGUGUUCCCAGUUGCUACAACACCUGACACAGAGUCACCUCUGUCGGUGAGAGGCGCCAUCCUUGCUGUUUCUGAUCAAUCUUUUGUGCUGUACCGUUCUGUCCUGAGAAGACCUUUGCCCAGACAUAGGUGUGGGUGAGGACCUUUUGAGCAGAACCCUGUCACAUGACGAAGAACAUCAAGAGUCAACAAAAGGGAUCACAUCAAAUUAAAAAAUUUCUGCACAGCAAAACAAAACAAAACAAACAAGCCAGAGUGAAGAGACAACCUAUAGAUGGGAAAUUUUUUUUUUUUUUGCCAGCAGUAGAAGGCAAAUACCUAGAAUAUCCAAAGAACCAAGAAAACAAAAUUAGACCUCCCCAAAUGAAAGACCCAGUCAAAACUGGGCAAUUGAAAUGAAUAGGUGCUCAGAAGAAGAAAUGCAAAUGGCCAGCAGGUGUCUAAAAAAUGUUCAUCAUCUUUGGUCAUCAGAGAAAUACAAAUCCAAGCAACGCAGGUGCCAUCUUACCCCAGAAAGAAUGGCCAGGGUCAAGAAAUCAAAUACUAACAAAUGCCGGGGAAGCUAUGGAGAAAGGGGACUCUGCUGCAUCAUGGGUGGGAAUGUAAACUAGUCCUAGAGAUGAGUGUGGAGAUUCCUCGAAAAACUAAACCUAGAAAUUCCUUUUGACCUAGCUCUACUCAUUGUAGGUAUCUUCCUGAAAGAGUUAAAAGACAUCAUAUUACAGUGAUACGUGUAUAUCCAUGUUUAUAGCAGCACAAUCCAAAACAGCUAAAUCUUUGAAGUAGCCUAUACACCCAUCAACAGAUGAGUGAAUAAAGAAACUAUUGAUAUGCAAUGGAAUACUAGUCUGCCAUAAAGAAGGAUAAUUUUGAGUCGUCUCUGUGGAAAUGGAUGCAUCUUGAGACCAUACUGUUAAGUGGAAUAAAUCAGACCCACAAGCCUAAAUAUCGUAGUUUCUCUUACAUGAGAAAUGUAAAUAAGUUAAAGUGCAAAACAAAAGAUAAUAGGAAAUAGGGAGAUGGAUUCUUUGUAAAUGGGAAGGGAAUCGAGAGAUGGAGGAGGAGAGGAGGAAAGGAGAAGUUAAACAUUAAAAUGUGCAUUUUGCAUGUACCAAGGCCUCCAUGCAUGUAAUAAGUCUGUACAGCAAAUGUCCUAAUACAAAUUCAAAAAUAGCACCUAACACACAGCAGUGCCAUCUCUGUGCCUGUCCUCUGUGGGUCUGAAAUUGCUGGGUGGAUUCUGCCCAGGGUUCUUGUGCUGCUGAGGUUAGGCAUAGUGGGGCCAGAGCUGCCGGUGGCUGCUAGGCAUUUCCUUCUUUCUGUGUCCACCUUGUCUUGGAGUGGACAGAAUGUGGUGAGUCCUCACAGGGCGUCUGGGCUUCCUCCCAAUAUGGCGGUCUAGGGGCCAGCAUCAGACUGGCUUCAGAGCUGGGAGCUGCAGCGCCACCUAGGGUCUGGAGUGAGAAGGCACACGGCAUCAUCCCAUCCCUGUAAGUGGUUGACUUCCCGUGAGUUAGUAAGUCUGCCCGUUGUCCCCGAGAAGGGACAGAGUCACAGAGUCUUGCUGGGCCAGGCACCUGACUACAGGAGCGUGGUGGGUGGGAGCAGCGCUGUGGCCAUCAUAGGGAUGGACCAUCUGGCCUUUUUGGAGUCACCAGUUUAGUCAUCUGCAAACAUGUGACUGAAGAACUUGGGACCCAUCACAUGCUAGGAGUUUCCAAAGGAGCCAGGCCACAGGGGAACCUGGAAUGUGAUCCUGGCUUAUUAAGGGGAACCCAGUCAGUUCCCUGGUACCCUCUUUGGGGAAUCAGUGUGGGAGGAGGCCUCCGAGGAGGGAAUAGGAAGGGGACAGUCACAGAGCUGUGGCUGGCGUGCCCAGUGGUGGGCUUACCUGGCUCCUGCAUUGUCCUUGUUUCUUGGACAAAGCUGCCACCUCGAGAGAGAGGGCCACACACUGCUCUGGUGAUAACGGCUUCCUUGACUAAAGCCAUCGCUUGGCCUGAUUUCCCUUUUCUGCAGCAGCCCUGGAAGACCGUGGAACCUCACGAAGCACGGCCUGUCAGGGGGACAAAAGUCCCCACUUCAGCUGGCAGUUUAUUUCUUGUGCUUUCCAUUCCUGAUGGAUGCUCCCUGUGUGCGUCAGACUUGAAAGCCUGGUUAAAGGGAGCCUGCUCCUGCCUGGUGUGCAGGCAGACCCUGUGCAUCCCGCAGAGAGCUCUCCAAGGGCGUGGUUGGUCUGGUAGACCUGUUUCCAGUGGAACAUCAAGCCUCUCUGCUGGGCUUCUGAGGACCACCUUUUAUAGAUGAGGCGGACGGCUGAAGGUCAGUCAGCUGGUCACCCUGAGUGGAAAGCCAGGUGUGCUUGCAAACCUCAUUUCCAAUUCUAAAGUCCCCAAGGCUCUGAACACCAAAAUGGAGCGAGCAUUUCCUGGUAAACCUGAUGUGAAUUGGAUGCGAGGUAAUUUAGAGUUUUUAUUUUAUCCCAUUUAGGAUGACUAUUUAUACAUUUUGCUGCAGAAAAAUUCAAGAGUUUCUGGGCACGGUAGUACACAUCUGUCAUUCUAGCUUACUCAGGAGGCAGAGGCAGGAAGAUCACGAGUUUGAGGCUGGCCAGAAAACUUGGCAAGAUCCUGCCUUAAAAACAAAAAACAAAACAAAGCAAAACAAAAUAAAGCAAGUCAAGAGUUUAUGGACCUCAGCGCCAGAGACCCUGGACUAUGCCUAAUAUGUGUUAGUUCCACUGUAAAACUUUCUUAAAACCCAAAGAAUUUUAAGUUAUAACCCAUGUUACACUUUUCUCUCUCAGUGAAGGAGAGGUCACUAUGCCCAUUUUAGAGAUGAGGAAGACUGAGGGUUGGGGACACACUGCCCCAGGCAGACUCCUUGUGGGACUGUAACAUUUUAAUACCCUGUUGCAUGUUCCUGGGCAAAGUAUGCUUUUGAGUCACUAGCCCACC
Molecule: long non-coding RNA, 7608 nt
Organism: Cavia porcellus (domestic guinea pig)
Lineage: Eukaryota; Metazoa; Chordata; Mammalia; Rodentia; Caviidae
Exons: 3
Source: RefSeq, a predicted model, not a curated record